Non-coding RNA from Gossypium arboreum, 106 nucleotides. The record is from Rfam. NCBI's taxonomy places the organism in Eukaryota, Viridiplantae, Streptophyta, Magnoliopsida, Malvales, Malvaceae.
AAUCCCUGGUGAGGGCACCUUCUCAGAGGUCCUUGCAUCUCUCCCAUGUAUCGUAGAGUGUUUCUAAAUACAUCUGCAUAAAGGAAGAAAUAUCACUACCUAAUUU